AUGAACGCUGGCGGCGUGCCUCAUACCUGCCAGUCGCGCGAACAGACGAGGAGCUUGCUCCUCUGACGUUAGCGGCGGACGGGUGAGUAACACGUGGAUAACCUACCUAUAAGACUGGGAUAACUUCGGGAAACCGGAGCUAAUACCGGAUAAUAUAUUGAACCGCAUGGUUCAAUAGUGAAAGACGGUUUUGCUGUCACUUAUAGAUGGAUCCGCGCCGCAUUAGCUAGUUGGUAAGGUAACGGCUUACCAAGGCAACGAUGCGUAGCCGACCUGAGAGGGUGAUCGGCCACACUGGAACUGAGACACGGUCCAGACUCCUACGGGAGGCAGCAGUAGGGAAUCUUCCGCAAUGGGCGAAAGCUUGACGGAGCAACGCCGCGUGAGUGAUGAGGGUCUUCGGAUCGUAAAACUCUGUUAUUAGGGAAGAACAAAUGUGUAAGUAACUAUGCACGUCUUGACGGUACCUAAUCAGAAAGCCACGGCUAACUACGUG
This 496-nucleotide ribosomal RNA is filed under the name uncultured bacterium. RNAcentral's name for it is "partial 16S ribosomal RNA". It matches the Rfam family "Bacterial small subunit ribosomal RNA", at positions 29 to 507 of the family's 1533-position model. The record is from RNAcentral.